Molecule: transfer RNA, 77 nt
Filed under: Pseudomonadota bacterium
Lineage: Bacteria; Pseudomonadati; Pseudomonadota
Description: Proteobacteria bacterium (mine drainage metagenome) tRNA-Arg
Rfam family: tRNA
About the family: Transfer RNA (tRNA) molecules are approximately 80 nucleotides in length. Their secondary structure includes four short double-helical elements and three loops (D, anti-codon, and T loops).
Source: RNAcentral
GCACCCGUAGCUCAACUGGAUAGAGUGUUGCUUUCCGAAGGCAAAGGUUGUGGGUUCAAAUCCCGCCGGGUGCACCA